RNA transcript from Nicotiana attenuata, 3695 nucleotides. It is a transcript of the gene named disease resistance protein TAO1-like, with no coding region annotated. The record is from RefSeq and is a predicted model, not a curated record. The transcript has 6 exons. NCBI's taxonomy places the organism in Eukaryota, Viridiplantae, Streptophyta, Magnoliopsida, Solanales, Solanaceae.
UUUGAAAUUUUGAUGAUAAAAAAAAAGUAAAAAGAACAAUUGGAAAAGGUGAAAUUAUUGCCAAACGGGCCCCUUGUUUCCUGCCAGAAACCACAAAAUCUAAGAAGGGUUGACUUGACCCAAGAUUAUAUGUAGCUCUGCUUAGCUACUUUCCUUUACUAAAAAAUCAUCCCUUAAUUCUUUCAUUCUCAUCAAAUCAAAUGGAUACUCAAUUAGUUCGAGGAGAAUCAUCUUAUGAAGUAUUCCUCAGUUUUAGAGGUGAAGACACCCGAAAAACAUUCACCGGUCAUCUUUAUUCUAAAUUAUCUGAUGUUGGAGUUAAUACCUUCAUUGACGACGAGGAAUUGAGAAAGGGUGACGUGAUUUCAAGAGAAUUAGAGAAAGCAAUUGAAGAGUCAAGAAUUUCCAUUAUUGUUUUCUCAAGAAAUUAUGCUUCCUCUAGUUGGUGUCUAAAUGAACUAGUUAAAAUUCUUGAAUGCAAAGAGAAACUAAAGCAGAUGGUUUUGCCUAUUUUCUAUGAUGUUGAUCCUUCUGAAGUGAGAAAGCAAACUGGGUUAUUUGGUGAAUAUUUGGCUAAACACAAGGAACGACCAUUUGGAGCUCAAAGGGUGGAGAAAUGGAGAGCUGCACUUACUGAAGCUGCAAAUUUAUCUGGAUGGGAUUUGCAAAAUGUUGCUGACGGGUAUGAAUCAAAGUUUAUUGAAAAAAUUAUACAACAAGUCCUACAAGAGGUCAACCAGACACCUCUAGAUGUUGCUUGGCACCCAGUUGGUGUAGAUUAUCGUGUCAAAGAUAUAGAGUUGUUAUUGCAAAAUGAAUGUGAAGAUGAAGUUCGCAUGAUUGGUAUUCACGGAGUUGGUGGCAUAGGGAAAACAACUCUGGCAAAAGCUAUCUACAAUCGAAUGUUUCGACUCUUCGAUAGUAGCUGCUUCCUUUCGGAUGUUAGAUCAGAAGCUGAAGAAUUUGGUCUUGUCAAGCUGCAAGAGAAACUUCUUCGACAAAUUCUCAAAACUGAGGACAUCAAAGUUGGUAGUAUUGCUCAAGGCAUCAAUCUAAUCAAAGCAAGACUCGGGUCAAAGAAGGUUCUAAUUGUUCUUGAUGAUGUGGACCAUAAAAGACAGUUAGAAGCCUUAACAAGAGAAAGAAGUUGGUUUGGUUCGGAUAGUUUAAUAAUCAUUACCACCCGAGACGAGCGAUUGCUAUGUCGGCUUGGAGAAAAAGAGAGAUAUGAGGCCAAACUAUUAAAUGGCAAUGAAGCUAUGUUACUUUUUUGUUGGCAUGCUUUUGACAGUCAUUUUCCACCACAAGAUUAUGUUAAUUUGGCACACGACAUAAUCAAAUAUUCAGGUAGGUUGCCAUUAGCUCUUGUGACAUUGGGGUCACAUUUACAAGGAAGUUCUAUUGAAGAAUGGGGAUAUGAAGUCGAAAAACUAAGAGCAAUUCCUCAUAGUGAUAUCCAAAAGAUUCUCAAGAUAAGCUUUGAUGGACUCGAUAAUGAAACACAGACUGUUUUCCUCGAUAUUGCAUGCAUCUUCCAUGGGUUUGAUGAGCAUAAAGUUAAUGAAAUAUUAAAUGCAUGUGGCUUUCAUACUAGAAGUGCAAUUGCAACUUUAGUCCAAAAACACUUGCUCCGAAGAUCUUGGAAUCAUUUGUUGGUGAUGCAUGAUCUAGUGCGAGAUAUGGGAAGAGAAAUUGUUCGGAUGGAAUCACCCCCAGACCCUGGCAAACGGAGUAGAUUGUUCAUCCCUCAAGAAGUGUGUGAUGUUCUACAAGGAAAUAAAGGUUCCAAAAAUGUAGAAGCACUGAGGGUAGAUCCAGGGACAUUAAAGGGAGUGAACUUGAGCACCAAAGCAUUUGAGAAAAUGAAGAAUCUUAGGGUGCUUAUAAUCAAUGAGUUACAUAUUAGUGGAGAUUUUGGGUUGUUGUCCAAGAAUCUCAGAUGGCUGUCUUGGAAAAAAUGUCCUUUAAAAUAUAUACCAUCAAAUUUUCCAGCUGAGAAUCUUGUAGUUCUAGAUAUGCGGGAGAGUGAUAUCCAAGAAUUUCAAUUGAAUUUGCAGUGUUGUAGAAGUUUGAAGGAGCUGAAUCUCUCUCGUUGCAAGCAACUCAGAAGCACUCCAAACUUCAAUGGUUCACUGGGUCUUGAGACUUUGUAUCUCUAUGGUUGCUCAAGUCUUACGGAGAUCCAUCCAUCAAUAGGAAAUUUGUCCAGACUAAUUAAACUGUAUAUGUCUGGUUGCGAAAAACUUACGGAUCUUCCAAGCAGCAUAUGCCAGCUAAUAUCCGUUGAUUACUUGGACAUUGAUGGCUGCUCAUCUAUAAAAACACUGCCAGACAACCUUGGAGAUAUGAAAAGUCUAAGAUAUCUUUAUGCAUCUUAUACGGGUAUAAAACAAUUACCUAGAUCUAUUGAAAUGCUAAGAAAUCUUGUAACUUUGAGAGUGGAAGGUGAAAAGUUAGAGGCCAAAUGGAGUAUUUCUGGAAGAGGAGUCCAUCGGAUACAAUAUUCCUUGUCAACUUUUGUAUCCUUUCUGAGCCUUACAUACUGUAAUUUGUCCGAGGAUGAUAUUCCUAGGGAUAUUGGGAGCUUAUUCUCCUUAGAAUAUUUAGAUUUGAGUGGCAACAAUUUCUAUUAUCUACCCAUUGAUUUUUCUAAGUUACUAUUAUUGGCGGAGUUGUAUUUGAAUGACUCUGAGAAUCUUCAAACACUCCCGUCAGUAUCCAAUUUAGAAAAACUUAGAAUACUUCAAAUUAAGAAUUGCCAAAAAUUGGUCAAGAUUACAGAGUUGGACAACCUCCCUUCUAUAGAGCGAAUUAUCAUGAUGAAUUGUAGUUCUCUGCAGAAUCCAUUCAGUGAAGGCUUCUUUAGUGCACCUGCUCUAUAUGCAUCUAGAAAAGAAGAUCCAGAUAUGUGUGGAUUGGAUAUUUAUUUCCAAUGCAAUGAGAUUCCAAAAUGGUGCAGGAAUCAAGUAACAGCUUCAUCUAUUUGUUUGACUGUGCCAGCACAUAAUAAUAAGGAGUAUAACUUCUUAGGAAUGGUUCUCUGGUUUGUUUCCGACUUGUUCGAUGUAUUCCGGCAUAAUCCAUGCUUCAGGAUUAUUAUUGCUCAUAAAGAGACUUUUAUUAUGACGUGGACUGAUGAUAUUGAUGUAACUGAUGAUAUUGAUAUAACUGAUGGACACAGAGAAGUGUCAUGUGUAUAUUACAGAUCUGACUUGGAUAAACUUUUUGAUGGCGAGAUGAUAGAAGUGUGGUCGGACAACGUUACAGUAAAGAAGAUAGGGAUCCAUAUGUUAUAUUUAGACCAACAUGGUAAAGUUAUAUCUUUGCCGGGAGAUGUGGAUCAUUCUUAUUCUAAGUACCCAAAAUGAGUUUCAACAGGCUUAUCAACUCCUACUUAUGAAAGAUUAUAAGGAGCAAAGUUCUGAGUCAAGAUUACCGGUUCGGACUGAUCCUAAGUAUAGCUGCUGGCCUCAUCUGAUCGGAGACCCAAGGUAGUCCUAUUGGCGUCCGCAGGCCCUGGCGUCCCCUUCUAUAUAUUCUCUCUGUAUUGUUUCAUUUGUAUCGAAAACAGUUGUAUAUUCCUUUUAACAAAUUACUUGUAGUUAAAUCUUAGACGUUCGUGGGUUGUGACUCCAGAUUCUGGGUAGUUGUGUAAACAUAUUAAGGUUCUUAUGAAUUUCCCCACUCUUUUAACU